RNAcentral lists this ribosomal RNA (371 nucleotides) under uncultured bacterium. RNAcentral's name for it is "bacterial SSU rRNA". It matches the Rfam family "Bacterial small subunit ribosomal RNA", at positions 527 to 896 of the family's 1533-position model. The record is from RNAcentral.
GUAGGGUGCGAGCGUUAAUCGGAAUUACUGGGCGUAAAGUGUGCGCAGGCGGCUGAGCAAGUCGAGUGUGAAAGCCCCGGGCUUAACUUGGGAAUUGCGCUCGAAACUACUUGGCUGGAGUGUGGCAGAGGAGGGUGGAAUUCCACGUGUAGCGGUGAAAUGCGUAGAGAUGUGGAGGAACACCAAUGGCGAAGGCAGCCCUCUGGGCCAACACUGACGCUCAUGCACGAAAGCGUGGGGAGCAAACAGGAUUAGAUACCCUGGUAGUCCACGCCCUAAACGAUGACGACUAGUUGUUGGAGGAGUUAAAUCCUUUAGUAACGCAGCUAACGCGCGAAGUCGUCCGCCUGGGGAGUACGGUCGCAAGAUUA